This is a long non-coding RNA of Juglans microcarpa x Juglans regia, 208 nucleotides long. RefSeq lists it as uncharacterized. The record is from RefSeq and is a predicted model, not a curated record. NCBI's taxonomy places the organism in Eukaryota, Viridiplantae, Streptophyta, Magnoliopsida, Fagales, Juglandaceae. The transcript is spliced from 3 exons.
AUCAGAUUCCCAUUCUAAAUAAUAUGUUUUCCAACCAUCCAAACACCCAUAAACCUAACGACAAACCCACUAACCUUGAUUCUGAGUUGCGAUGGAAAGAGUGAAAGCUGCGAGAGUGAGCUGCGAUUGAGAGAGUGAGCUUGCGAGGAGGAGAGCGACUGCGAGGGAGAGAGUGUCGAGCGGGUAUUCUGUGAGUUUUAGACGAAAU